CUUGACAUCCAGAGAACUUGGCAGAGAUGCCUCGGUGCCUCGGGAACUCUGAGACAGGUGCUGCAUGGCUGUCGUCAGCUCGUGUUGUGAAAUGUUGGGUUAAGUCCCGCAACGAGCGCAACCCCCUAUCCUUUGUUGCCAGCGAUUCGGUCGGGAACUCAAAGGAGACUGCCGGUGAUAAACCGGAGGAAGGUGGGGAUGACGUCAAGUCAUCAUGGCCCUUACGAGUAGGGCUACACACGUGCUACAAUGGCGUAUACAAAGAGAAGCGACCUCGCGAGAGCAAGCGGACCUCAUAAAGUACGUCGUAGUCCGGAUUGGAGUCUGCAACUCGACUCCAUGAAGUCGGAAUCGCUAGUAAUCGUAGAUCAGAAUGCUACGGUGAAUACGUUCCCGGGCCUUGUACACACCGCCCGUCACACCAUGGGAGUGGGUUGCAAAAGAAGUAGAUAGCUUAACCUUCGGGAGGGCGUUUACCACUUUGUGAUUCAUGACUGGGGUGAAGUCGUAACAAGGUAAGCGUACGUGU
This 529-nucleotide ribosomal RNA is filed under the name uncultured bacterium. RNAcentral describes it as "bacterial SSU rRNA". It matches the Rfam family "Bacterial small subunit ribosomal RNA", at positions 980 to 1509 of the family's 1533-position model. The record is from RNAcentral.